RNAcentral lists this ribosomal RNA (483 nucleotides) under uncultured bacterium. RNAcentral's name for it is "partial 16S ribosomal RNA". It matches the Rfam family "Bacterial small subunit ribosomal RNA", at positions 28 to 523 of the family's 1533-position model. The record is from RNAcentral.
GACGAACGCUGGCGGCGUGCUUAACACAUGCAAGUCGAACGAUGAAGCCGGAGCUUGCUCUGGUGAAUUAGUGGCGAACGGGUGAGUAACACGUGAGUAACCUGCCCUUGACUCCGGGAUAACUGCUAGAAAUGGUAGCUAAUACCGGAUACGACCCUCGGAGGCAUCUUCAGGGGGUGAAAGAAUUUCGGUCAAGGAUGGACUCGCGGCCUAUCAGCUAGUUGGUGAGGUAACGGCUCACCAAGGCGACGACGGGUAGCCGGCCUGAGAGGGUGACCGGCCACACUGGGACUGAGACACGGCCCAGACUCCUACGGGAGGCAGCAGUGGGGAAUAUUGCACAAUGGGCGCAAGCCUGAUGCAGCAACGCCGCGUGAGGGAUGACGGCCUUCGGGUUGUAAACCUCUUUUAGUAGGGAAGAAGCGAAAGUGACGGUACCUGCAGAAAAAGCACCGGCUACCUACGUGCCAGCCGCCGCCGUAA